This is a long non-coding RNA of Musa acuminata AAA Group (dessert banana), 4087 nucleotides long. RefSeq lists it as uncharacterized. Lineage: Eukaryota; Viridiplantae; Streptophyta; Magnoliopsida; Zingiberales; Musaceae. The record is from RefSeq and is a predicted model, not a curated record. The transcript has 2 exons.
AUCCUCUAUUGUAUUUCUUAUAAGGAUUUCAUAGAUGCUUUGCUAGAUGCUAUUUUACUAUUUUACUUGUACGUACCAUGGAGGCAUACAGAAUGAUGAAUCAUCAUAGCGUGAUAAUUAGUUUGCUCGUAAUUAUGGAUAAAGAACCUGCAAUAUUUUUAGGAGUUGGUUUUAGUAGCAUUUUAUCAAGUAUCUUUUAAAAGGAAAGUGAAUGUAUGAUUUAAUUCUCUAGCUGCUAAUUGCACUACUAAAGCAUGUUUGUUAAUGCUUUACUUAGUGUUGGUCUGGAAAAACCCUUCUAGUAUUGCUAAAACAUAUAUAUUGAUUAAAUUCUAUUGCAUAACUUCCGUUUUCAUAGUUAUACAUGUAUGGUCAAUCAAAUAUAGAGUUCGCCAGAUGACAUCAUCUUGGAACAUAGAUGUUCUACUCAUUACUGGGGCAUAUGGUUAACCUCAGAUGGAACUGAGAGCAAGUGAUAACUUGUUACUGUCGCCUGUGAGAUAGUUUGCUGUAGAAACCCACUGUAGUGGGGAACUAGCAUUCCAACUUUUACAGUAGAUAAAUUACACAUUUUUCUUUCAUUCAUAUGAAUGUUAGUAUAUUGAAUUGAGUGAUUGAAGCCAAAGGUUGAUUUCACUUUGCAUGUUUUGCAAAUGUAUGCCUUGCAAAGAUGAACCAACUGAACACUGAUUGCAGUUUUUAACUAUCCCACUAUGAUGCUAUAGUUUGUGAAGCUGAUCAUUGGCAACAGAUUGCUGUCUAAGUUAUUUGAGAUAUUGUGAUUUUUCUUUGCUCCAUACUGAGUUAGUUUUGGCAAAGUUUGGAAAUAAUGGUUGAAAUGUAAUUUAUAAUACAUGAGUAAUACUUUAAGUGGGACUUAUUACUGCAUUUCUUUAUGAUAAAAGUAUGCCUCUGUUGGAAUUCAUCAUUGUAGAAGCAUAUUUGCUAUUAAUAACACAGUGUUCAUGAUGAGUAUGCUUACGAGGUGCAAUUACUCAUUUGAGAUCUUGUGUAUGUACAAACAUAUCGGACCAUGAAAUGCAAUUUUGGGUACCAGACCCAUUCUGGUCAAUGGCUGGAUUGUCAUUGGUCCAGUCCAUGCCAGCAUACAAAUAAAUGGGUAUGCCAGCAUAGUCUUUAGUUCAAUCUUUAUCUGCUGGAUGGACUUCAUGGAGAUAAAGUUUGUGUCAAAUCAUGUGACCUUUGGUCUUAGAUACUUCCCUUAUGUGAGUUUUACAUCAAUUAUAAAUAGAUGAUGCUUUGUGCUUUUUGCCACUAUUCUCUUCACUGUAAGGAUGUCCCAAUGUUCUUUAUCAUAAGGUUUAUAUGAGCAGUUCAUGGUAUCCAGAAAAAAAGGUCUUCAUGUGUCCAUCAGUUGUUUGUCAAUCUUGAGAUUUGAGCUGUUAACAGUCACCAUUUGUAUUACAUAGUGCUUCCCAAUGUCAUUCACCACUGCUAAAUAUAUCAUUCGCCUUGAAUUUGAUUUUAUGUACUAUCCAUCUUAUGGAAGAUGAUCCUCUUGUUACAAAAAGUCAGGAUAGUGAUAAUGCUUAUCUCGAUUUGAGUCAGGCCGACAAUCACAUAUGAGGGUCACACUUUAUGUUCCCAUGGUUUGCUAAAUUACUUAUCAAAUUUCCAAUUUCCUCUUCCUCAUUGUGAUACUACCUAGAAAUCUCAUACAAAGUAGGUGACUCUAUCUUUGGAUCAUGUUCUUGAAUGAUGGAUGCCAUGGGUCGAUAGUAAGAUUCUCGAAUUGCAUGUAUAGAAAUUCCUUUGAAGUUGAAUGACUUUGCUAUCGCCAUCCAAUAUCUUUCUUCCAUGUAAGCAUCCCUUGAUCCUCAUUUGCUUCUCACUUUAAGGGGAAUGUUGAAUGAGCAAGACAUAAGAUCAAAAAAGACUUUAUCAGGAGUGACCUUUUGUUCAAGGAGCUCAAAGAAAGCCCCAUAUGCCCACCCUGCUGCCAUUUUUACAUAUCUCAUGAGAUGUGCUAGACUUCUGGAUAACUGACUUGGGAAAGGAGUGGUCGGGAGUUCUCCUCUCCCUCAGAAACCGUCUUGGAAAGUCAUCUCCUCAUCAAGUUGCCUUUCCUUAAACAACUGUGGUGAACUUGGGAAUAUGAGCUGCUCUUCUCAGCACCUCCUCUUCCCUCAGGUAACCAACCCUAGCUAACUUGGUCAAGGAUGGCACUCUUGUUUAAAACCUGAGCACCACUGCCAUUGGGUUGCCUAAUUGAAGGAUCAGCUGAACAGAGAUGGUCAAACACCAUUUUGACUACCACUACCAUUGUUAUGCUCAUAUUGUGAAGAACCAUCAAAUCCAUGUUGAUAUAUCAUGGCCUCUUGCAUAUAUUAGUGCUUGGGUGAUAUAAGAACUAGUUGUAAUAUCAGGGUCCUCAUCAACAUUGUUUCUAUAAUCCUCAUAAUUAUCAUGGAUGGGAGGGUUAGAUGCCUGUUACAAAGCUCCUCCCUUUGGUCUUUCUGUUUUAGCCAUAUGGUGAUUUGAGCAUCCAACUUAACUCCUAAAGCCUGUCCAAUUUCUUGGGUACCUUGGUGGAUUUGGUCAGUGGACAUUUGAUCACUUUGGGAAAUUUAUUAGCCAGAUGGUACUUUAGUCAGGUUAUUUUCCCACCUCGACUAACAUACACAAUAGAUGCUUCAUGCCUCGGUGUGCCAACCCACAAUUGAGGAGAUUGUGUUGUACGUAAACUAUUUAGAAUUUCAUCAGAUAGAGCUGGAAUAACAUGUUUCUCACUAUUUUUUCAAAUGUUUAAUACAAUUGAUGAUUAGCUAUCUAACUAUAAAUCCACCUUUAGUGCUUUUCUAACGAUUGCUUCAUCCACUACACUAACUCAAAUUUUGGAAGAAUCUUUUAGCAAUAUCAUGCCAUGAAUCUGAAAUAAGUUUUGAUUUCUCUUCAUGAUGCCAUUACCCUCUACUUGUUCACCAUUGUGCAUCUCACUCCCCUUGAUCAUUAGAGUAGUGUGGCGAUGGGGAAUUAAGAGAGGGGGAUGAUCAACCAAUAUCCUAGAUUCAGAACUUUUUCAUACGUUAGGAUUCUUUCCACAUGAUUGUAUUCUACUCCAUAAUAAAAUUUGGAAAACCAUCCAAGCCUCUCUAUUUUUGACUUGAUAUUGAAAAUAUGACCUGCUUCCAAACUAGAUCUUUGCAAAUGUAGGUUGGAUUCAUGUCUAAUCCAUGCAAUUCUAUGUCUGAUCCAUGUGGAUCUAGGUCUUUUUUUUUUUGGAUUUUUUUGUAUUUAUGCAAUUGUAAAACAGAUUGGUGCAAAUCUACAAUGGAGUAGUAUGGACCAUGGCUAAAACUACAUAAAUGUAGGCUGGAUCUAGUUUAGAUCUAAGCAAGUAUAGGUUAAAAUUAUGUAUUCUUGCGUAGAUUCCAUGUAGCCAAAGUCGAAUGAAUUUCAUCAGAUCUUCGUGAAUUUUGGUUGGAUUCAAGUGGGGGGCAAAAUAUUUUGGUUUGUGUGGCGGUUCAGCAAUGGAUUGGUAAAUACCGGCCCACACUGGCUAAUAAGGAUGAAACUUCUUUGUUUUUUUUGGCAAAGAGUGAGUAGUGAAGGUGGUAUUCGAGCCCAGGACCUUGUGAUAAAUUGUUAAGAUCUUUACUGGAUAAACUAGUUGACACCUUCCAAAAUGUGUAGUUGAGGUUUCAAACCCUCAACCUUUGGUAAGAGGGUCUGGUUCACCAUCACCAGACCAUUGUUUAAGGUGUAGUAGAAAGUCAACAUUAGUUUAAGGUGUAGUAGGAAAUCAACAUUAGUGUUAUCUGCUACUUUCCUAGCCGCCUAGAUCAAUGGAGCCUUAUUUAUGGCCAAAUUGGUAGUAGGAAGUCAACAUUAGUGGAUAACACAUUGGUUAAUUUUCAAAAUUUGACAGAUAUUAUAAGCUAAAUAGCAAGCACAUGCCGUGCAAGUGCAAAAGAGAAGCCUAACUCUCACACGUGCUACCAUUCAUCCAUUUGACUUGAGCUAACUAUCAUGUAAAUGUGGUCUUUUGGUGCACAGGUCCCAUUUUUACUUGAACUUUAAUGAAGCCUUUCAAGUGGAAAAGAAAUGUGCUUGAUAGAGAAGAGGG